RNAcentral lists this ribosomal RNA (253 nucleotides) under uncultured bacterium. RNAcentral describes it as "partial 16S ribosomal RNA". It matches the Rfam family "Bacterial small subunit ribosomal RNA", at positions 524 to 776 of the family's 1533-position model. The record is from RNAcentral.
UACAGAGGUGGCAAGCGUUGUUCGGAAUUACUGGGCGUAAAGGGCGCGUAGGCGGCCAUCUAAGUCAGACGUGAAAUCCCCCGGCUUAACCUGGGAACUGCGUCUGAUACUGGAAGGCUUGAGUAUGGGAGAGGGAUGUAGAAUUCCAGGUGUAGCGGUGAAAUGCGUAGAUAUCUGGAGGAAUACCGGUGGCGAAGGCGGCAUCCUGGACCAUUACUGACGCUGAGGCACGAAAGCGUGGGGAGCAAACAGG